UUGAACGCUGGCGGCAUGCUUUACACCUGCAAGUCGCACUGUAACAGGCCUUCGGGUGCUGCCGAGUGGCUAACGGGUGAGUAAUGCAUCGGAACGUACCCAGCGGUGGGUGAUAACGCAGCGAAUUCUGUGCUAAUACCGCAUGUGAUCUUAGGAUGUUAGCGCGGGACCUUCCAGCAAUGUUUGGCCUCGCGCUUUUGCAUCUGCCGAUGUCGGAUUAGCUAGUUGGUGGGGUAAAGGCCUACCAAGGCGACGAUCCGUAUCUGUUCUGAGAGGACGAACGGCCACACUGGGACUGAGACACGGCCCAGACUCCUACGGGAGGCAGCAGUGGGGAAUUUUGGACAAUGGGCGAAAGCCUGAUCCAGCAAUGCCGCGUGCGGGAAGAAGGCCUUCGGGUUGUAAACCGCUUUUGGCAGGAACGAAACGGUGUCCGCGAAUACCGGGAGCUAAUGACGGUACCUGCAGAAUAAGCACCGGCUAACUACGUG
This 491-nucleotide ribosomal RNA is filed under the name uncultured bacterium. Its description in RNAcentral is "partial 16S ribosomal RNA". It matches the Rfam family "Bacterial small subunit ribosomal RNA", at positions 30 to 507 of the family's 1533-position model. The record is from RNAcentral.